RNAcentral lists this long non-coding RNA (672 nucleotides) under Crocodylus porosus (Australian saltwater crocodile). Its description in RNAcentral is "lncRNA (ENSCPRG00005002205.1)". The record is from RNAcentral. Lineage: Eukaryota; Metazoa; Chordata; Crocodylia; Crocodylidae.
UGCUGCCAAAACUUUGUGGUGUAGGCUUGGUCAACGCAUAUUUGAUUCACAGGCUGAUCACAAAGAAAAUAACAGGAUUAGGAAGAAGGCUGCUUCUUCAGCACUUGCCAGUAUUGCUUUAACUGAAGUUGGUGGAAAUCCUGCUGGAAUAAAUUGGGAUUAGAGCCGUAAUCAUCCAUUGACCCACAACCCAACUUUUUCUAUGGAAGCAGCGAGCAAAAUUCAUCCCUGGUAGAGCUCCAUGAGACAACUGGAUUAUUCUCAGCUCUCCCUGAAGCAAACACAGAUCUAAUUACAGAGAACUGCAGCAGAAAAGGAAUGAAACAAAAAAUGAAGCAGUUCAUCUGUAAAGCAGUGGUGUCUGCCCUUGAAAGCUUUGAAAAACCUUUUCAUUGGGAUAUAAAACACUGUAUGUUCUUGUAAUCAUACUUCUUAAGAAAACAAUUACAACACAUUUGACAUUUAUUUGUAGGCCUGAUUCAAUAGGUUACCAACAUCCCAUUCCAUUGUUUCCUGUCUAUUCACCCCCUAGCUAAAUGCCCUUAUUACAUAGGGUGACACCAAAACUGAUGAAAUGUAGAUCCAGGAUCUCUCCACAAUCACAAUGAAAGCAUAAAUCCCCAGCUGAGGCUCAAGUUCACAGCACAGCAAUAAGGUCAAGCAUUAUGGAAG